RNAcentral lists this ribosomal RNA (504 nucleotides) under uncultured bacterium. Its description in RNAcentral is "bacterial SSU rRNA". It matches the Rfam family "Bacterial small subunit ribosomal RNA", at positions 402 to 896 of the family's 1533-position model. The record is from RNAcentral.
UGAGGGAUGACGGCCUUCGGGUUGUAAACCUCUGUUGGUAAGGGAAGAAAAAGUUUGCAACUAAUAUUUGCAGGCUCUGACGGUACCUACUGAGGAAGCUCCGGCUAACUACGUGCCAGCAGCCGCGGUAAUACGUAGGGAGCUAGCGUUGUUCGGAAUCACUGGGCGUAAAGAGAGCGUAGGCGGAAAGGUAAGUUAGGAGUGAAAUGUAUCGGCUCAACCGGUAACGUGCUUUUAAGACUGCUUUUCUUGAGUAUGGGAGAGGAUGAUGGAAUUCCAGGUGUAGCGGUGGAAUGCGUAGAUAUCUGGAAGAACACCAGUUGCGAAGGCGGUCAUCUGGACCAAUACUGACGCUGAGGCUCGAAAGCUAGGGGAGCGAACAGGAUUAGAUACCCUGGUAGUCCUAGCCGUAAACGAUGGACACUAGAUGCUGGAAGCAUUACGCUUUCAGUGUCGUAGCUAACGCAUUAAGUGUCCCGCCUGGGGAGUACGCUCGCAAGGGUG